GAUGAACGCUGGCGGCGUGCCUAAUACAUGCAAGUCGAGCGAACAGACGAGGAGCUUGCUCCUCUGACGUUAGCGGCGGACGGGUGAGUAACACGUGGAUAACCUACCUAUAAGACUGGGAUAACUUCGGGAAACCGGAGCUAAUACCGGAUAACAUGUUGAACCGCAUGGUUCAACAGUGAAAGACGGUUUUGCUGUCACUUAUAGAUGGAUCCGCGUCGCAUUAGCUAGUUGGUAAGGUAACGGCUUACCAAGGCAACGAUGCGUAGCCGACCUGAGAGGGUGAUCGGCCACACUGGAACUGAGACACGGUCCAGACUCCUACGGGAGGCAGCAGUAGGGAAUCUUCCGCAAUGGGCGAAAGCCUGACGGAGCAACGCCGCGUGAGUGAAGAAGGUCUUCGGAUCGUAAAACUCUGUUAUUAGCGAAGAACAAAUGUGUAAGUAACUAUGCACGUCUUGACGGUACCUAAUCAGAAAGCCACGGCUAACUACGUG
This 497-nucleotide ribosomal RNA is filed under the name uncultured bacterium. Its description in RNAcentral is "partial 16S ribosomal RNA". It matches the Rfam family "Bacterial small subunit ribosomal RNA", at positions 28 to 507 of the family's 1533-position model. The record is from RNAcentral.